AGUGAACGCUGGCGGUAGGCCUAACACAUGCAAGUCGAACGGCAGCACAGUAAGAGCUUGCUCUUACGGUUGGCGAGUGGCGUACGGGUGCGGAAUACAUCGGAAUCUACUUUUUCGUGGGUGCUAACGUAGGGAAACUUACGCUAAUACCGCAUACGUCCUACGGGUGAAAUCAGUGGAUCUUCGCACCUUUCGCUUUUGAUUUAGCCGAUUUCGGAUUAGCUAGUUGGCGGGGUAAAGGCCCACCAAGGCGACGAUCCGUAGAUGGUCUGAGAGGAUGAGCAGCAAAACUGGAACUGAGACAGGGAAAAGACUCCUACGGGAGGCAGCAGGGGGGAAUAUUGGACAAGGGGCGAAAGCAUGAUCCAGCAAAACCGCGUGGGUGAAGAAGGACUUAGGGUUGUAAAGACAUUUUGUUGGGAAAGAAAAGAAGCAGGUUAAUAACCCGAUGUACUGACGGUACCAAAAGAAUAAGCACCGGCUAACUACGUG
RNAcentral lists this ribosomal RNA (492 nucleotides) under uncultured bacterium. RNAcentral describes it as "partial 16S ribosomal RNA". It matches the Rfam family "Bacterial small subunit ribosomal RNA", at positions 29 to 507 of the family's 1533-position model. The record is from RNAcentral.